AGAAGACGACGACAUGGCAGAGGAUGGAUUAGAUUGUCCCUAUCAGUGCGGCAGCAACUGGGUUGUGUGCGCAGCCGGCGUCGAGGAGGAAGAACCGCUGCUCACGACCUCGCACUACGACAUCGCAUCUUCUACUAUCGCACCUGUGGAGUCCUAGAUCUGGGAUCGUCGGAAGCAAGUGUACAUCUAGGGAUUUAUUUGAUUUGAAAUGUAUUAUGUUAGCUUAGCCUACUCUGUUGAUGUUGGUAUGUCAGGCUUUUAUAUUUCAGAAAGAUGGUCAUUGCAAAUGGCAAUGUCGACAUGGAGGAAGGAACCCUUGAAAUCGGGAUGGAGUACAGGACAGUUUCUUGACUUGCUGCUCCUCUUGUGAUUCUUGAUAAAGUGAAUUUUCAGGCAUUACUUCCAAGUCACAACCUGCAUAUUUUAGAAAUUU
Long non-coding RNA from Triticum dicoccoides, 433 nucleotides. RefSeq lists it as uncharacterized. The record is from RefSeq and is a predicted model, not a curated record. The transcript has 3 exons. NCBI's taxonomy places the organism in Eukaryota, Viridiplantae, Streptophyta, Magnoliopsida, Poales, Poaceae.